CCAACUAUGAAUGUUUGCCUACUCUGAAGGAAGAAAAGGAGCCAAACCUCAGCCCAAGUGAUAAUGAAUCCUAAGUCCAAGUGGCGUUGACGUUUCCCAAGAGCAUACUCCCCGAGGGCACCUGCAGGGCCCACCAGCGAAGGAUGAAGAGGAGACAAGUUUAAUUAAUUUCAAAUCAGUGUAGACACAAGAACCUUUUAGUGUUUCUUCCACCAUCCCCUCUUCAGAUGAUGGCAUCCCCUGGACUUGGAAGAAUGAGGUACUGAAGUCUUGGAAAGGCCUGGCUGCCCACCAGCCCACGCAUGAUGAAGAAAGAGCCCCAUGUGGUGCUGGCUUCGGACCUGUGGGUGUCCCUCCCCACUGCCUCCUCCUCGCUCAUUCUGGUCACCCUAAGAUCACAGCUCUGGUCUGCUUCAUUCUGAGGGUUUGCUCAGGAAGCUGGUCAUCUUCUGGGUCCAGGUCGCCUUACUGACUACCAGGUUUGGAUAAUAUUUUCUCACUGUUCAUGUCCUCUCAGGUCAACUCUAGUCAUCUGGAACUUUCCUCAAGGACGGUUGGGUUACAGAAAACAGGCCAAACAAAGCGGGCGUUUCAUAGCCACACCAUCCCAGGGACUUGUUAAGCUUGUUUCUCACCUGCUAAGAAAACACAAGGAAGUCCACAGGCCUCAUGGGAGAUCCUUGCACGACUCGUAGACUUGCACCCAGCCACAUCUCAUUCACUUUUGAAAACUUCCAGAAGAAAUAGCAAUCUUUAAAGAGAGAAGCAACUUUUUCCUUCUCCGCUAAAGUCACCUCUACUUGCAACAUCUCAAAGCAGCUGAUCUUGUUUCAAGCCACAGGCCUGGCUUGUGCUGUGCGGGGGCUUGGAAUGCAGGCAGGUGGGGGUCAUGGGAGAUCUUCACGGCUGAGCUAGAAGGACCUGUGCCUGUGGCAGCUCUGGGUCAUGGUGCUUUCUGGUCUGUGUGCUCUACAUCCAGCCUUCUCUGUAGGGCUGGGAAGAGUCUCCAAUGCUUAGCCCUCCAGGAGGUGGCUCCCAGGCCAUCAGAAAUGACAUUCUACAUGAAAUUAGUUGACAUCCAUGUACUAAAAACAAUGGAGUUAAAAAUGCAGAAAAACCCACUAACCUCUCCUCCUUAGUAAAGUCCCAUUUAAUCCUUCGUUUUCUAAUUCUGACCUUUAAAAGGCCAUCCAGCAAAUUGAGUCUCUGGUUCUCGUGGGAUGCUUGGUAUUUUAUUCCAGGAAAGAAACAAAGAAUGAAAAUUUUAUUUUGCUAACCACAUGUAAACUGAGGGGAGAUGAGGUUAACCAAACUUUUUGCUGCUGAAUUGGGGUUCUGUAUUUGAAAGGCUGCUCUCAUGCUCCACAGAGAGCCUUCUCUUGCCCGCUUGGGGCCUCUUUAACAAGCUCUUGCCUUCUGAGAUAUGCAGAUAAUUUUAUAGGCAGAGCCACAGGCUAGGGUGGUCUCUCUAUGCAGUAAAUGACCUGAAUCCAGGCUCUCCUACUGUCCUGGGACCGUGCAGUUCUCAGACAAAAGGCAGUUCAACAGUGUAUCCUCAACAGAUUCAUUGUCCUGUCUCACUCUGUCAUGGACCCUGUGGACACUCACAAUGAAUUUAUAACCUGCCCUGACUCUCCCAGUCACCCGACGGGCAGAUGCAGCCUUCUGAGUCAUCACUCGCCUAGUCUGCCCAUGACUGCUACUUUAAAUUUGGUUCUCUUUCUCUGAAAAGUCUAGUUCCUUCUUUCUUGGGGUGUCUAAGAUCCCCGAUGACUACCAGGUUUUUGACCUUGAUCCACCCCUGCCCAGUAUCAGACUUCAGAAUUUCUCAGAAGUGUAUGAGGUGUCGGACUGUUACUUUUGAUAAAGGCGUGUUUUGUGUGACGAUAACACGAUUCUCAUUCAGUGCAUCAAAUAACCUGGAAGUCCCAAAGAAACAAAUUUACCAGCAUGCUGUUGAGUUUGCAUCUGAGAUCGGCCUUGGCUUUUCUAGCUGCACAGAGACUUCCUGCAGAGCUAUACGAGUUCUGACUCAUGCCAUCGGCAUGGCCCAAGCAGUCAAGUUAAGCCUUCGAUUCUAUUAUUACUAUACGAUCAGAGCACAGCAUACGUGUAUGUCGAUUCCAUGAAUUCUUAAAACAAAACCAUUUUUUUUUUUACAUUAUUGAUAGGAGAAAAACCCUCAGCAGUUUGCCUUAGCUGGAUAGCUACUCAGAACAAACCAGAUUUUAGAAUAAAGAUGGCCAUGGACUUUAUCUCCGAUGGUGGGUUGUUGGCCUAGCAUGCCCAGAGCUCUGGGUUUGACCCUAGCACUGUAUAAACUGGGCACUGUUGCAGGAAGAUCAUUCCUACAGGUUCAGGUUUAUCCGCAGAUACAUAGUGAGUUUGAGGUCAGGUCAGCCUGGAAUAGGUAAGACUGUGACUGCAAAAAAAAAAGUUUUUAAGACACAUGCUUUGAUGUAUUUUUCUUUUUAAAGCAAAGUAGGUUGACGGCGUUGCUUAGCUGGACUUCUUCAGAAACUUGUUUCAAUAAACAUGUUUUUAAAAAUCCA
This is a long non-coding RNA of Rattus rattus (black rat), 2552 nucleotides long. RefSeq lists it as uncharacterized. The transcript has 2 exons. The record is from RefSeq and is a predicted model, not a curated record. Lineage: Eukaryota; Metazoa; Chordata; Mammalia; Rodentia; Muridae.